GCCACAGAUUCCAAAUAAAUAUCCCGAUGAGCUUCAGUGCAUCCAUAUUCAAUAUCUGAUUCAUUGUCCUCAGCUUUAAACAGAGAUCAUCUCUGUGUGUCUGCGCUGAACUGGACUUUUCCCACUUCUCUUUGUUGUGUCUCCGUCUUAACACCAGUAUUUUUAUGGUUAGGUGAAUUUGUUAGUUCUACAUGCCAAUAUUUUUUUUAUUCAGGUGUGGGAACAGUGGUUCAGAGGAUGCUCUUCAGGAAUGUUAAAUGAAGGUGGUGAAAUCCAUGUGCAAAGAUAUCUUAGGUCAGAUUACUGGACUGAUCACAUCAGCCUCCUGUGAGGUCUGUCUAAAGAAGACUAACAAAGGUUCAGUGCAGCGUCCUGAGAAGAUGGAUGUGAGGACAGAAGUACACAAACAUGUAGUUGUAGUGAGCUGCCAGUAAUUUUAGAUGGAUUUGUUCCUCUAACUCAUGUCUGUCUCUUUAUCAGCCCUGUGACACAUUGGUGACCUGUCCGGGGUGAACCUGCCUGUGCCUGCUGAGAUAGGCUCCAGCCUUCCACCCACACCCUGACAAUCAAAUGUGGACAGACUAACUUCUUUCUUAGAUUCAUUUUAUCUUCUAGUGUGUUCUUGCAUCAUUUUAACUUCUAGAGUGUUCUUGGAUUUGUGGCAUUAAUAUUAGAGCUAGCCAUCUUACUUAGAGAAUUCCUUCCAUGAGCCAUAGCCCCUGAGAUUAUUCCUAUAUUUAUUAUAUUAUCUAUAUUAUUUGAAGUCACUGUCAGUUUUUUUAUUUUACACUGAAAAUAAUACUGAGAAGUUAAAGAAUCCAUUCAUCCUCUUUCUUAACUGCUUGCUCAGUUAGUGGAGCUCUGCAGUGUAUUCCUGACACAGGGAACUAGGGGGGGUACAACCUGGACAGGCUGCCAGUCUGUUGUGAUGUGUUAAGCAAUGUAUUCAUAUUUAAUUGAAAAAUUAAUCAAUGAUUUUCAAUACAUUUAUGAUGCGUUUUUGAUUACUGAUUCCAAGAUGGCGUAGUGGUGUUUAUAGAAAUCCUGUUUGGGGUUUUAAAUGUUAUUUCUGUUUCCUGUUUGAGCAGCUCUGCAGUCACUGUCCAGGUGGGUCAGUGGGAGCAGAAGCCCUCUGCUAAUGUACAGGCUCUGAUCAGCAACAUCCAGCAAGACCCACACAGCCUCUACCUGCUGGAGCUUUUUGUUUGCCUGUGACUGGAGAGUCAGAUUUCUGUUGGGAGGUUGCAGCUCCCUGUGCUGGAGAAACCACUUCACACCUGCAGAGGGUCAGAAAACAAAACCACGAUGACUGUACAUGUUUCUUUCUCAGGUGAUAUGAUUGUGAGGAAGCAAAGCUCAGGAAGAAGGGAUCCCUGCAGUCCUGUUCUUUCAGCUCCAAGCCUGCUCAGAGAAAGCAGCAUAGCAGCAGACAGUUUGAGGGGUUUGGGCUCACAGAUGGUGACAGCAUGGAGAGACUGUGGUCCUUCCCCUGAAGACUGAUGUUCUUCUGCACUGCAGAAGGAGAGUUCUUAUAAACAUGGAGGAAAAAGAUGGAAGAAUCUGAGCUGAACAUCCUGUUUCCUGCUACAGAUGCUGACUGUGACCUCAGAGGACAGCUGGUCUGCAGAGUUACAAGUGAAUCAAGGCAGAGGUCAGUCUGCCUGCAGCUUCAAAGAAAGCAUCCAGACUCAGAUGGGCAGGAUCUCAGCAUCACACUGUCCAAACAGGCUCCAGCUUCAACAGCAGACUGAGACAGACAACAAGAGAAAACAGCAGCUUCAGUGGGCUCCACAGGUCAAAGGUGACAUUUCAAGGGGUCUUCAAAGAAGAAGGGACUGAUGUCAUGCAUCAAUCACAGCGAUUAUGAAGAUGACAGCGAGAGCAGCUACGACUGUAAAAGUCUGACCACGACUGUUUUGCUGCUUCCUGAUUAUUAAUGAAUGUUUGUGUCUUUUGUCAUUAAUUCUUUUGCCGUCAUUUGUUACAAAAAAAAUUUACCAAACUCAGUUUGUGUUAUUUAAUUUUUACAGGCCACACUCACUGCACACAAGAAAACAUUCAUUUUAGUCACUGAUGACUCAGUGACUUUAUAAAAGCUUUUAGUAGUCCAGCCAUUGACUAUUAACACUUACCAUAUUGUACCUGUACAGCAUGGUUUUGUAUAUGUAUGAGAUUUUUUUAAUGUUGAAGUCAUUUCCUGAUUUAGUUUGUAAUCUUUGUUGGUUUUCUCUGCUUUGGAACUGAUUGUGAGUCAGUGUGUAACCUCACCUGCUUCCCUUUGUUCCAAAAAAAAGUUUUUUUAUUUCUGUUUAUUUAAAUUUCCGUUUCAUUUUGAUCUGUGUUGUGUGACCCUUGCAGACUGGUUUGUGGACUGCUUGCCUCACUGUGUGUAACCACUGCCUGUUUUUGACUAAAGA
This is a long non-coding RNA of Archocentrus centrarchus (flier cichlid), 2417 nucleotides long. RefSeq lists it as uncharacterized. Lineage: Eukaryota; Metazoa; Chordata; Actinopteri; Cichliformes; Cichlidae. The transcript has 6 exons. The record is from RefSeq and is a predicted model, not a curated record.